RNAcentral lists this ribosomal RNA (253 nucleotides) under uncultured bacterium. RNAcentral describes it as "partial 16S ribosomal RNA". It matches the Rfam family "Bacterial small subunit ribosomal RNA", at positions 524 to 776 of the family's 1533-position model. The record is from RNAcentral.
UACAGAGGUGGCAAGCGUUGUUCGGAAUUACUGGGCGUAAAGGGUUCGUAGGUGGCCAACUAAGUCAGACGUGAAAUCCCUCAGCUUAACUGGGGAACUGCGUCUGAGACUGGAUGGCUUGAGUGCAGGAGAGGAACGCGGAAUUCCAGGUGUAGCGGUGAAAUGCGUAGAUAUCUGGAGGAACACCGGUGGCGAAGGCGGCAUCCUGGACCAACACUGACACUGAGGAGCGAAAGCGUGGGGAGCGAACAGG